This 403-nucleotide unclassified non-coding RNA is filed under the name fungal sp. RNAcentral's name for it is "partial internal transcribed spacer region". The stretch from base 1 to 46 matches the Rfam family "Eukaryotic small subunit ribosomal RNA", at positions 1786 to 1831 of the family's 1831-position model. The record is from RNAcentral. Lineage: Eukaryota; Fungi.
AAGUCGUAACAAGGUUUCCGUAGGUGAACCUGCGGAAGGAUCAUUAAUACGUAUCCAACGUUAAACCCCCCCUGUGAACUUUUACACUUGCUUCGAAGCGCGCUGGAAUUGCAAUCCCUGGUAAAUCAUUGUUGAACAGGUUUUGAUUCAGGGACCUCAGUUCUGGAGUAGCCUAGUUGAGCGAUCGUGCGCAAGUAACCUGGUUUCCCCAAGCAGUCAAUGUCUGAAAGUGUCAUUGAUUGUGUAAGGAUAACGCUUUUCGGUCACUGGAGGUCGACACCGGCCGGUGGACAGGUUGCAGUGGGCUUCACGCCCCCAUAUUAACCCCACUACCUGUAACGGCCUCGUAGGAAACUACUGGGCAACAAACGAACAACUGUUAACAAUGGAUAUCUUGGUUCUC